RNAcentral lists this ribosomal RNA (253 nucleotides) under uncultured bacterium. RNAcentral's name for it is "partial 16S ribosomal RNA". It matches the Rfam family "Bacterial small subunit ribosomal RNA", at positions 524 to 776 of the family's 1533-position model. The record is from RNAcentral.
UAAAGAGGGGGCGAGCGUUAAUCGGAAUUACUGGGCGUAAAGCGCACGUAGGUGGCGACGUAAGUCGGGUGUGAAAGCCCCGGGCUCAACCUGGGAAUUGCAUUCGAGACUGCGUUGCUGGAGUACGGAAGAGGAGGGCGGAAUUCCCGGUGUAGCGGUGAAAUGCGUAGAUAUCGGGAGGAACAUCAGUGGCGAAGGCGGCCCUCUGGUCCAGUACUGACACUCAAGUGCGAAAGCGUGGGGAGCAAACAGG